This 441-nucleotide ribosomal RNA is filed under the name Stutzerimonas stutzeri. Its description in RNAcentral is "bacterial SSU rRNA". It matches the Rfam family "Bacterial small subunit ribosomal RNA", at positions 13 to 456 of the family's 1533-position model. The record is from RNAcentral. Lineage: Bacteria; Pseudomonadati; Pseudomonadota; Gammaproteobacteria; Pseudomonadales; Pseudomonadaceae.
UUGAUCCUGGCUCAGAUUGAACGCUGGCGGCAGGCCUAACACAUGCAAGUCGAGCGGAUGAGUGGAGCUUGCUCCAUGAUUCAGCGGCGGACGGGUGAGUAAUGCCUAGGAAUCUGCCUGGUAGUGGGGGACAACGUUUCGAAAGGAACGCUAAUACCGCAUACGUCCUACGGGAGAAAGUGGGGGAUCUUCGGACCUCACGCUAUCAGAUGAGCCUAGGUCGGAUUAGCUAGUUGGUGAGGUAAAGGCUCACCAAGGCGACGAUCCGUAACUGGUCUGAGAGGAUGAUCAGUCACACUGGAACUGAGACACGGUCCAGACUCCUACGGGAGGCAGCAGUGGGGAAUAUUGGACAAUGGGCGAAAGCCUGAUCCAGCCAUGCCGCGUGUGUGAAGAAGGUCUUCGGAUUGUAAAGCACUUUAAGUUGGGAGGAAGGGCAGU